UAUAAAAAAAUUAGGGGGGUUCCUUGAAAUUUAUUCUGAGGUUUAUGUUUACUUAUCUUACGGAAGUGAAACAAGACAAUAGGAAGGCCUUGUGAUAAAACAUAACAGCUUUUAUUCCAGUUAUAAAAAUGUUCAUUCUGCCAUCUAUCUGCUGAGUUCCCAGAGCUCACUAUGGAAUUUUGCUAUGCAAUGAGGCCACAUAGCUUUUCACUGGACUUUCAAAAUUCAGUUGGCUUAUGCUCAGGUGGAAAGGAAGAGUCAUGUAUACUAAAAAGAAGUGACAAGAUUGCUUUAUAGGAGGUGAUGUCUGUUGCAGCUGAAUGCAGAGACAGCUUGUUACUACAACCAGCUUCAGUCAAGCUGCUUAUUGUCAGAUCCAUGAAGAACAUAGCUCAUCCAAGAACGAUUCAAGAAAACAACUUCUUGAGAGAAGUAAUAUGA
RNAcentral lists this long non-coding RNA (441 nucleotides) under Cyanistes caeruleus (blue tit). RNAcentral's name for it is "lncRNA (ENSCCEG00000023811.1)". Lineage: Eukaryota; Metazoa; Chordata; Aves; Passeriformes; Paridae. The record is from RNAcentral.